UACGUAGGGUGCAAGCGUUAAUCGGAAUUACUGGGCGUAAAGCGUGCGCAGGCGGUUUUGUAAGCCAGAUGUGAAAUCCCCGGGCUUAACCUGGGAAUGGCAUUUGGGACUGCAAGGCUGGAGUGCGGCAGAGGAGACUGGAAUUCCUGGUGUAGCAGUGAAAUGCGUAGAUAUCAGGAGGAAUACCGAUGGCGAAGGCAGGUCUCUGGGCUGACACUGACGCUCAUGCACGAAAGCGUGGGGAGCAAACAGGAUU
Molecule: ribosomal RNA, 256 nt
Filed under: uncultured bacterium
Lineage: Bacteria
Description: partial 16S ribosomal RNA
Rfam family: Bacterial small subunit ribosomal RNA
Source: RNAcentral